UACAGAGGUCCCAAGCGUUGUUCGGAUUCACUGGGCGUAAAGGGCGUGUAGGCGGUGCGGUAAGUCGGGCGUGAAAUCCCCGGGCUUAACCCGGGGCGGUCGUUCGAAACUGCCGUGCUAGAGUGCAGGAGAGGGAAGUGGAAUUCCCGGUGUAGCGGUGAAAUGCGCAGAUAUCAGGAGGAACACCGGUGGCGAAGGCGGGUCUCUGGGCCGUAACUGACGCUGAGGAGCGAAAGCGUGGGGAGCGAACAGG
Molecule: ribosomal RNA, 253 nt
Filed under: uncultured bacterium
Lineage: Bacteria
Description: partial 16S ribosomal RNA
Rfam family: Bacterial small subunit ribosomal RNA
Source: RNAcentral